RNAcentral lists this long non-coding RNA (1210 nucleotides) under Chrysemys picta bellii (western painted turtle). Its description in RNAcentral is "lncRNA (ENSCPBG00000004847.1)". The record is from RNAcentral. Lineage: Eukaryota; Metazoa; Chordata; Testudines; Emydidae.
GCCCCAGGGUGAGGGCUGGCUGGCUUGGGACAGGGAUUGCAGGGAUUUAUCCCAGACUCUCGACUUCUUCUAGCUCCAUCAGGUGGCCUCACUUGGGCAUUUAUCGAAUUCAGCUGCAAACUCGUGUUCGUGGUGACUGGAUUCAUCCUGGCCUAUUACCUCACCCUGCUCUAUUACAGAUGGACACCCUGCUGCUGUUGUGGAAGCAGAAGGAAGGACCGGCCGGGAGCCCGGGAAUCCAGAAUGCCUGAGUCUGGCAUGCAGAUCAGGCCGUUCCUCAGCCACCAAAGUGUCGACAAGAAAUUGGAAUUUUACGGGACUGAGGAAAUGGAGGAUGAGACCUCAGCUGGGGGGACUGCCACUCCAAGUGAGGCCAACGGGCCCAUCUAGCCUGAUAUCCUGCCCCCUCCCUUCCCUCUGAAUCAGACCCAUGGGCCUGCAAAGCACGUGGAAACUGCCUGUAAUAUUUAUAUGACCAUGUGAUGUUAUUAAUAUGAAUUGUGAUCAUACAGAUCACUUUUGCAACCAAGGUCAUAUAGUGGCAUCAAAUCUUGUACAAAGGAGAUCAAGUAAGGUGUCUAUGAGGAGGUUAGGAUUUCCUGGUUAUGAUUGUGCUUUCUGUAUGCAGGUGUCAUUUUUGUAUUUAAAAUUAUAAAUAUUGGCUCUAUCCUGUCUGUAUUUCAAACUUGUGCCGUGCUACUGGGUGACACCUCACACAAUUUGGCAUCAGCACUAGCUAGCCUGCUUGAUGGCCCAUUAAGGACCAUCAACUAUACAAUUGACCCAUUGAGAGAAGGCAGAUACACCUUGUGACUCAGCAAGGCAUGCAGGGACAUGCCUAGGGACAGAAAUCUAAAGUUUUCUGUGCUGGGUAGCUUGUGUUUGGAACAAAGGAAGCAGAACCCACAUGGCAAAAGAACUAUAAAAGGCAGCUGCAUCAUUUCCAUUGUGUCUUCAAUCCUGCUUCUUACCUUUGAAGGAAAUUUGCUACACCAAAACUCUGAACAAAGGACUGAAUGACCCAUCCCAGCUGGGGAUGUUCCAGAGACUUGAUUUGAGCCUGCAGUUUAUUCCAUCACUGCUACAAGCCUGAACCAAGAACUUUGUCAUUUCUGUAUGUAAUUGAUUCCAUUUAACCAAUUCUAGCGCUCAUCUGUAUUUCUUUCUUUUUAUGAAUAAACCUUUAGAUUUUAGAUUCUAAAGGAUUGGA